This is a small nucleolar RNA of Eptesicus fuscus (big brown bat), 198 nucleotides long. RefSeq annotates it as small nucleolar RNA SNORA73 family. The record is from RefSeq and is a predicted model, not a curated record. The transcript has a single exon. NCBI's taxonomy places the organism in Eukaryota, Metazoa, Chordata, Mammalia, Chiroptera, Vespertilionidae.
CCCAGGAGGUCCCUCUCCCUUGGGCUCUGUUUAGGGGCUCUGUCCAAAUGGGAUAAGGUGGGCUCUGUUUAUGGCUGUGCCCCUUGAUGUACACUCUCCUUCCACAAUGUUGGAUAGAAAGACAGGACUUGAUAUUCCUACAGUUUCUCAGAGUCCUGUAGACAAUGACUGAGGAGACAAACAAUGCAGGAAGCAUCU